RNAcentral lists this long non-coding RNA (2072 nucleotides) under Mus musculus (house mouse). RNAcentral's name for it is "long non-coding RNA chr4:16014033-16016105". Lineage: Eukaryota; Metazoa; Chordata; Mammalia; Rodentia; Muridae. The record is from RNAcentral.
GGGUCCUCACGAGGCCUAGGCUCGGGGCUCGGGGUGCGUUCUCGGUGCCCGCUCUUGGGAUUGCGGAGCAGAAGAGGGGAGGCUUCUACCUCAGGCCUGCGGGUCUCAGGGAAGUCCGGCCGCGAGAACCUACCUGAGCUCACGUCCUCGCACUGUCUCGGGUGCAUCUGGCCUCGGCCCCCGCAUCGCGGCCACCCAAAGACUCCCACAAACCUUAGGUGCUCCGGCCGCUCGCCUGGCGCUCCCCCUGGCCAUGUUCAGCCUCCCUUCUUAAAGAGCGCCGCUCCACCAUUCCCCGGACUGGGCAAGGCCUCACUCAGCCAUGCAGAGACUAGUGGGGAAAGGGGCUGGGCCAGAAAAGAUGUUUUGAGUCUCUCCAGGUGUCUUUGAGUCAGCACAGGGAGUGCAUCCAACUUGGUAUUUAUCCAAAGUUAAAAGGUGAGGGUGGACACUGUCAGAGCGAUUAAUCACCUUAAUUAAUUAAUUAAUCUGCUCCGACAACGCCUUCACCCAUCUCCGUUAUUGGGGGGCGGAGGGGAGCAGUUAAAACACUUGUAUGUUUAUGUCUUUAAAAGAAAUUCUCUUUAAGAAUGUUGGUUGGAGUCUGCAUUUUUUAAAAGAACUCAUCCUGGCAGAACAUUGGCCCAUGCCUUAAUUUCAGCCCUGGGAAAGCAGAGGCAGGUGGAUCUCCAUGAGUUCAAGUCUAGUUUGAUCUACAUAGGACAGCCAGGACUUUGUAGAGAGACCCUGUCUCAAAAAGAAAGAACUCAGCGUGCCUCCAGGAUUCCAUAUCUAAAAGGUGUAUUCACCGGAUUUUAAAAAUUGUUUUUCUCCUCUUUGAAAAUAAUGGCAGUAUGAGCUCAUUUUACGUUUAAUGUGUUAACAGUUGUGAAGGAGAAAGGGAAGAAGAAGCUGCGUCUGCCGAGACAUUGACUAGAACUGCAUUAUAGUGGGAAGCUUGGAUUGCUGCAGGUCCAUCCAGAGGCUAAUUACCUUAUCUAGGCUAGAUCUAGCACUGCAGAACACUAGCUAUUUGUCCAACUCUAUGUGUGAACUAACGUCUUGUGACUAGAAGAUUAAAAACUUUUUGGAAUCUAUUGACUAAACAGGCCACUAGCUUCCACCAACCAAAAGCUAAGAAUGCAAUAAGAUAACACCCUGAGACUAUAGUAACACUUCCCUCAUCUUGCUGUACCUGUCUCUCUGGCGUGCUUUAAUAAACUAUAACAAUGGAUUUUACACUUACCUUGAUUUCUUGUUCUGUGAAACUUCACAGAACUGCUUCCAGUUGGAACAUGGAAUUUGGGGUAGUUAAAAUUGUUCCUGGCCUAUAGCCACUAAAAAUGGCUCCAGAAUAAUGUCUUCUUAUUCUGUCUAAGAGGAAAGCUGUGGUUUUUUGCAAUGUGAUGUAUAAGACUAUGCUUUUUCUAAUAUUUAUACCACUAUCCCUUUAUACAUCUUUUCCCAUUAGGUCUUUGUUUUAAUUUGUAGGGAAUUUUUUCAUUUAUAUUGUUUUUUCAAUGGUUGCAGAACAAAAACACCAGAUUUCAAAUUUACAUUGGUUUGUAUUUAAUGUAUUUUGAACAAUUAUUUUUGGUCUCUCGUGUACCGGGUGUGAGGGGCAGAAAUGAGUACAUGAGUGCAGAUACAUACAGAAACCACAGAGGUUAUGGGGCAGAAAUGAGUGUGUGAGUGCAGAUACAUACAGAAACCACAGAGGUUAUAGAAGAAUCCUGGAACAGAAGUUAGAGGCAGUUGGGAGCUCCCCAGUCUCUGUUCCUGGAACCCAACUCUGGCUUUCUGCAAAGCAAUUAUGUUCUUAAUAGUUGAGCUCUCUCUCCAGCCCCUAAUGGUUUGAAUGUGUCAGAGCUGUAAGAAAACAAAUUCCUAGUGUUUAAGCUUUCUGAUCUGUAGUCUGGCAGUACAGCAGCCUGAGCCAAGAUAGUGUAUUUUCCCAUUUUCUACAAACAAGUUUUUUAAUCAUUCAAAACAAACAGUUGCAUUUUAUAUCAUCUGGGCAAACCUAGUAAUGAUCAUGCUAUAAAAGCCAAUAAUUUGGUCAUAUAAUACUC